Molecule: ribosomal RNA, 795 nt
Filed under: uncultured Vibrio sp.
Lineage: Bacteria; Pseudomonadati; Pseudomonadota; Gammaproteobacteria; Vibrionales; Vibrionaceae
Description: bacterial SSU rRNA
Rfam family: Bacterial small subunit ribosomal RNA
Source: RNAcentral
UGCAAGUCGAGCGGAACGAGUUAUCUGAACCUUCGGGGAACGAUAACGGCGUCGAGCGGCGGACGGGUGAGUAAUGCCUAGGAAAUUGCCCUGGUGUGGGGGAUAACCAUUGGAAACGAUGGCUAAUACCGCAUAAUACCUUCGGGUCAAAGAGGGGGACCUUCGGGCCUCUCGCGUCAGGAUAUGCCUAGGUGGGAUUAGAUAGUUGGUGAGGUAAUGGCUCACCAAGGCGACGAUCCCUAGCUGGUCUGAGAGGAUGAUCAGCCACACUGGAACUGAGACACGGUCCAGACUCCUACGGGAGGCAGCAGUGGGGAAUAUUGCACAAUGGGCGCAAGCCUGAUGCAGCCAUGCCGCGUGUGUGAAGAAGGCCUUCGGGUUGUAAAGCACUUUCAGUCGUGAGGAAGGUAGUGUAGUUAAUAGCUGCAUUAUUUGACGUUAGCGACAGAAGAAGCACCGGCUAACUCCGUGCCAGCAGCCGCGGUAAUACGGAGGGUGCGAGCGUUAAUCGGAAUUACUGGGCGUAAAGCGCAUGCAGGUGGUUUGUUAAGUCAGAUGUGAAAGCCCGGGGCUCAACCUCGGAAUAGCAUUUGAAACUGGCAGACUAGAGUACUGUAGAGGGGGGUAGAAUUUCAGGUGUACGGUGAAAUGCGUAAGAUCUGAAGGAAUACCGGUGGCGAAGGCGGCCCCCUGGACAGAUACUGACACUCAGAUGCGAGAGCGUGGGGAGCAAACAGGAUUAAUACCCUGGUAGUCCACGCCGUAAACGAUGUCUACUUGGAGGUUGUGGCCUUG